UGAGGAAUAUUGGUCAAUGGGCGAGAGCCUGAACCAGCCAAGUAGCGUGCAGGAUGACGGCCCUAUGGGUUGUAAACUGCUUUUAUAUGGGAAUAAAGUGAGGGACGUGUCCCUUAUUGCAUGUACCAUACGAAUAAGGACCGGCUAAUUCCGUGCCAGCAGCCGCGGUAAUACGGAAGGUCCAGGCGUUAUCCGGAUUUAUUGGGUUUAAAGGGAGCGUAGGCUGUUUGUUAAGCGUGUUGUGAAAUGUAAGAGCUCAACUUUUAGAUUGCAGCGCGAACUGGCAGACUUGAGUGCGCACAACGUAGGCGGAAUUCAUGGUGUAGCGGUGAAAUGCUUAGAUAUCAUGACGAACUCCGAUUGCGAAGGCAGCUUACGGGAGCGCAACUGACGCUAAAGCUCGAAGGUGCGGGUAUCGAACAGG
Molecule: ribosomal RNA, 424 nt
Filed under: bacterium
Lineage: Bacteria
Also listed under: 2 other names
Description: partial 16S ribosomal RNA
Rfam family: Bacterial small subunit ribosomal RNA
Source: RNAcentral